Molecule: ribosomal RNA, 445 nt
Filed under: uncultured bacterium
Lineage: Bacteria
Description: partial 16S ribosomal RNA
Rfam family: Bacterial small subunit ribosomal RNA
Source: RNAcentral
GUAAGGAAUAUUGGGCAAUGGGCGCAAGCCUGACCCAGCCAUGCCGCGUGAAGGAUGACGGCCCUAUGGGUUGUAAACUUCUUUUGUACGGGAAAAAACCACCGGUCGUGACCGGUGCUGAUGGUACCGUAAGAAUAAGCAUCGGCUAACUCCGUGCCAGCAGCCGCGGUAAUACGGAGGAUGCAAGCGUUAUCCGGAUUCAUUGGGUUUUACGGGUGCGCAGGCGGAAUAAUACGUCAGUGGUGAAAUCCUACGGCUCAACUGUAGAACUGCCAUUGAUAAUGUUAUUCUUGAGUACACUUGAAGUGGGCGGAAUGUGUCAUGUAGCGGUGAAAUGCUUAGAUAUGACACAGAACACCGAUCGCGAAGGCAGCUCACUAAAUUGUAACUGACGCUCAUGCACGAAAGCGUGGGGAUCAAACAGGAUUAGAUACCCUAGUAGUCC